CGGCAACAGCUCAAAUUUGAAAUCUGGCCCCCAGGGCCCGAGUUGUAAUUUGCAGAGGAUGCUUUUGGCGCGGUGCCUUCCGAGUUCCCUGGAACGGGACGCCAUAGAGGGUGAGAGCCCCGUCUGGUCGGACGCCUAGCCUGUGUAAAGCUCCUUCGACGAGUCGAGUAGUUUGGGAAUGCUGCUCUAAAUGGGAGGUAUAUGUCUUCUAAAGCUAAAUACCGGCCAGAGACCGAUAGCGCACAAGUAGAGUGAUCGAAAGAUGAAAAGCACUUUGAAAAGAGGGUUAAAUAGUACGUGAAAUUGUUGAAAGGGAAGCGCUUGUGACCAGACUUGGGCCCGGUGGAUCAUCCAGCGUUCUCGCUGGUGCACUCCGCCGGGUUCAGGCCAGCAUCAGUUCGCCGCGGGGGAAAAAGGCUUCGGGAACGUGGCUCCUACGGGAGUGUUAUAGCCCGUUGCAUAAUACCCUGGGGCGGACUGAGGUUCGCGCUCCGCAAGGAUGCUGGCGUAAUGGUCAUCAGCGACCC
RNAcentral lists this ribosomal RNA (527 nucleotides) under Purpureocillium lilacinum. RNAcentral's name for it is "partial large subunit ribosomal RNA". It matches the Rfam family "Eukaryotic large subunit ribosomal RNA", at positions 99 to 650 of the family's 3401-position model. Lineage: Eukaryota; Fungi; Ascomycota; Sordariomycetes; Hypocreales; Ophiocordycipitaceae. The record is from RNAcentral.